UACGGAGGGUGCAAGCGUUAUCCGGAUUCACUGGGUUUAAAGGGUGCGUAGGCGGGCAGGUAAGUCAGUGGUGAAAUCUUCGAGCUUAACUCGGAAACUGCCGUUGAUACUAUCUGUCUUGAAUACCGUGGAGGUGAGCGGAAUAUGUCAUGUAGCGGUGAAAUGCUUAGAUAUCUGGAGGAAUACCGGUGGCGAAGGCGGCAUCCUGGACCGAGAUUGACACUGAUGAGCGAAAGCCAGGGGAGCAAACGGG
RNAcentral lists this ribosomal RNA (253 nucleotides) under uncultured bacterium. RNAcentral's name for it is "partial 16S ribosomal RNA". It matches the Rfam family "Bacterial small subunit ribosomal RNA", at positions 524 to 776 of the family's 1533-position model. The record is from RNAcentral.